Molecule: ribosomal RNA, 498 nt
Filed under: uncultured bacterium
Lineage: Bacteria
Description: partial 16S ribosomal RNA
Rfam family: Bacterial small subunit ribosomal RNA
Source: RNAcentral
GACGAACGCUGGCGGCGUGCCUAAUACAUGCAAGUCGAACGAGAGCGCCCGGUGCUUGCACUGGUCAAUCUAGUGGCGAACGGGUGAGUAACACGUGGGUAACCUGCCCAUCAGAGGGGGAUAACAUCCGGAAACGGAUGCUAAAACCGCAUAGGUCUUCGAGCCGCAUGGCUUGAAGAGGAAAAGAGGCGCAAGCUUCUGCUGAUGGAUGGACCCGCGGUGCAUUAGCUAGUUGGUGAGGUAACGGCUCACCAAGGCCGUGAUGCAUAGCCGCCCUGAGAGGGUGAUCGGCCACAUUGGGACUGAGACACGGCCCAAACUCCUACGGGAGGCAGCAGUAGGGAAUCUUCCGCAAUGGACGCAAGUCUGACGGAGCAGCGCCGCGUGAGUGAAGAGGGUGUUCGGAUCGUAAAACUCUGUUGUUAGAGAAGAACAAGUGCUAGAGUAACUGUUAGCGCCUUGACGGUAGCUAACCAGAAAGCCACGGCUAACUACGUG